Molecule: non-coding RNA, 305 nt
Organism: Pelobates cultripes (western spadefoot toad)
Lineage: Eukaryota; Metazoa; Chordata; Amphibia; Anura; Pelobatidae
Source: the annotation of a GenBank genome assembly
CAUCACUCACACACUGCACCCCUCUCUCACACACACUACACCCCUUACACACACACACAGAGCACCCUCACACACACUGCGCAAUAUGCUUUCCUGGCAUUUUUGUCUCCUGGUAUCCCAACUAUGGAGACACCAGAGACAAAUUUCAAGCAAACACAGUGCAAGCAUGUUAUUAAAUUUGCUUGCGCUGUGCAGAACAAAUACAGGGUAUUUUUCUCAUGCCAGAGCUCUUCAGCAGAGCUCUGCGCAUGGUCUACCCUGGAAGAGCAUUGAACCAACAUGCUCACUUUGUGAUGGGGCGUGCU